CAACGUUUUUAAUGCCGACGUAAA
Molecule: non-coding RNA, 24 nt
Filed under: Arabidopsis thaliana (thale cress)
Lineage: Eukaryota; Viridiplantae; Streptophyta; Magnoliopsida; Brassicales; Brassicaceae
Source: RNAcentral